Molecule: long non-coding RNA, 1482 nt
Organism: Bubalus bubalis (water buffalo)
Lineage: Eukaryota; Metazoa; Chordata; Mammalia; Artiodactyla; Bovidae
Exons: 2
Source: RefSeq, a predicted model, not a curated record
UCUCCCCAACUCCCCCACCCACAGUAGGGAAGACUGUUGUUUAUCCUAUCUGCCUUCUCCUUUAUACAGUGGGGUGUUGUUACAGAACCUUUUGCUUCAGACCUAUAAGAUCUCCCAUCCAGUAAACCACUGAUGUCUCUGUCACUGUCUCCCAUGUCUUUCUUUGGUCUCGAAAUUGGGCAGUCACAAAGCUUGCAUGCCUGCGGGGUGUAGCCCAGCACCAAUAUAUUUGAUAAAACAGGAAAACAAUGUUAAUAUAGUUGAGUGAUUUUGUUCCCCAUCAUUUUCAUUUCCACUAAUUCCUUUCUGUUCUCUGUCCCUCCAAAUGAGAAAUUUGGAAGAAAAACAAUCAGCUAGGGACUGUUUCCUCUCAUCUACUUCCCAAAUUCCAAAGUUAAUUAAAUUUUUUAAAAGAUACUAAGGAAAAGCUCAGAAGAGGAAGAGAGAACGGAGAGAAAAAGAAGUUAAACCUUGAAAACCGAUACUCUUUCUGGAUCUGACACAAGAACGAUCAGAAGAAACACGUGAAGAACAGGACUGAGACCACCCCAGAGUCUGCUGUAGAAGAGAACAGCAUUCUCAUAAAGAGAUUUCAUUUGGUUAGAUAAUGUAAUGAUUUUUAGGAAAACUGGCUUGUGCCUUGUGGACUGCUUUGUCAUUUAUUGUCCUGGAACUAGCUUAACUUCAAAAACGUGUUAAAUCAGUGUACCUGCUACCAACAGUUCCCACAGAACAUCUAUGGCUGAUGUGUCUUCACCUAUAACUUUUUAUUGUGUCUUACUGUGUCUUACUCUAUAACUAAAAAACAAAAAAAAUGUAUUUACCAUUGACUAAUCAUACCAAAGUCUGAUCCUGGGACUUAUUAGAUGCCCUAAUCACUCCAUUCUGUAUUUCCAUGGUUUAAACCUCACAAAAAUGGUUAUAUUAUGGAAUUUCAAUAAGCUAAAUUCAUGUCACACUUGUGUUCCAGAGAAAGCAACAGGUGUAAGAACUCUCAGACUGCAUACGCUAUCAGUAAGAUGCAGGUCUCAGAGUCAUAAAGGCCUGACAACACAUAGGCCUUGGAGUGUGAACUGUAAUUUGAUGACAUGUUACUGCCAUCCUCUACCUGUUCAUUUUCUAGCUGAUGCUCUGACUUAACAAUACCUGUUACAUCCUGGUCCAAGUUUGCAUCACUGGGAACUCACUACCAAGGAAACCCAACCUUGUUGAAACCCUCAGUUCUUCACCAUUAAUGGCAGAUUCAGAUUGCCUGUGGGAUUGCAGCUGAUGUGUAACCUCUGCCUCACUCUAGCAUAUUAUUAGUCCAUAGCCCUGAGUGCAGAAAUAAUUGACAACCUGCUCCAUCUCCUUCCGUAUAAACCUGCAGGGCAUAGUCAUCCACAUUAAACAACUGCUAGGUGACUGCUUCAAAUAUUGCAGUUUUCUACUGAAUCCUGCUCAAGGGCAAGAAGUUUCUGGAGGAGGAAAAGGAAAUCUUUA